Molecule: transfer RNA, 106 nt
Filed under: Daldinia loculata
Lineage: Eukaryota; Fungi; Ascomycota; Sordariomycetes; Xylariales; Hypoxylaceae
Description: tRNA-Ile
Rfam family: tRNA
About the family: Transfer RNA (tRNA) molecules are approximately 80 nucleotides in length. Their secondary structure includes four short double-helical elements and three loops (D, anti-codon, and T loops).
Source: RNAcentral
GGUCCCAUAGCUCAGUUGGUUAGAGCGUCGUACUAAUAUCACCAGUAUUACCAUUGGUUGUAUCUAGUCCAUGCGAAGGCCGGCGGUUCGAGCCCGCCUGGGACCA